Long non-coding RNA from Quercus robur (English oak), 654 nucleotides. RefSeq lists it as uncharacterized. The transcript is spliced from 4 exons. The record is from RefSeq and is a predicted model, not a curated record. Lineage: Eukaryota; Viridiplantae; Streptophyta; Magnoliopsida; Fagales; Fagaceae.
UAUCCUCCUGAAACCAAAGACACACCAGAUGCCCCUGCCAUGGCUGCAAAGAAAUUGGAGCAUAUGGGUCCUGUUACAAGAAAUGAGUGGGUGAUGGUCGGUACAAUGCUCCUUGCAGUCCCUUUGUGGGUCUUUGGCUGUUGGUGCCAUAUUGUCAGCAACUGAUUCAGUUUGCACGCUGCAGGUUCUCAAUCAAGAUGAAACGCCCUUACUUUACAGUAUUGUAUUCGGUGAGGGAGUGGUGAAUGAUGCCACCUCUAUUGUGCUUUUCAAUGCAGUCCAAUCACUUGAUGUCAGCAACAUUGAUCUACUUACAGCAUUGAAAUUCUUGGGGGCCUUCCUUUACCUCUUCUUCACCAGUACUGCUCUUGGUAUAGCAGUUGAAUAGAUUUGCAGCUAACUUGAAGCAAGCUGCAGAAAGUGAUGGCCGGAUUGAGCGUUCUGUGAGAGAACAGUCAGCACUCAUGUCAAUCCUUGAUUGCCGUCCAGUAUGUUGAACUGUUUGUGUUAUUUAUGUUUAUCAUUUGUCUCCCGUGCCUUAUACCAUAGGCCUUGGAUGAUGCAUUGACAUGCAAUAAAAAAAUUUAAAUAGCAUAAUCAUACUCUGUCGAAAAUGCAAGCUGAUAUGAAUUUCAAAGGCAUUUCUUGAUCCAA